Molecule: long non-coding RNA, 1645 nt
Filed under: Coffea arabica (coffee)
Lineage: Eukaryota; Viridiplantae; Streptophyta; Magnoliopsida; Gentianales; Rubiaceae
Description: long non-coding RNA (CARA_LNC005742)
Source: RNAcentral
GAUGGAGCAGAUUGAAGCAGCACGCGAAGUCGGCUUGUAAGCUGGUAGAUUAAUGUCCAUUGCAUUGCCAUCUCUGAAUCCUUCAUCUGCCUAACAACAGAAGCCUGAGAAAGUCCAAAAAAGAGGUCCUUUAGCUAAAGAUGAAUCAUAUACAGCUGCAAACUUUCUCCUCUGUAGCAUGGUGGUGGAGAAAUGUUCACUCUUAACAAUUUUCAGUUUCUCACACAAAGUUUUUAAUUCUUCUUGAUUCAAUUGCUUACUUUUUUUGGAUAUAUUUACUUUCCUAUUGGAUUCACAGACUGCAAUGAAAAGAUUUCUGCACUCAGCCCCCCAACUCAAGCCUUAAAUUUCUUCUCCAGCUACUGUCAUAAAUCAUAUUUCACAUCACAUCGAACACAUGAAACUCAUCACCACUUCAAUUAAGUGGUGUUAAAGAGUUGAGACUACUUCAACAAGGGUGUUAAAAGUUGAGACAAUAGCUAUUACUAUUAAACUUUAUAGACAAACCUUGUGAACAAGAAAUAUUAAUAUCAUUCUAGUAAUUCGUUGGAAUAAAUUGUUUUAACCAAAAAGCUGAAAAAAAGGUCAAGAAAAUAUAACCUGUAAGCGCUUCCCAAGCUGAACUUCAACUUCUGUACCAAAUGAAAUAUUACUAGCUAGAGAUUUAAGAGGAUCAACCGUGGGAUCAACAGAAAGCAAACUGGGAAUCUGAGGCGCAUAAACUAGCCUCCACCUCGCAUGUCCAAACUCUCCUUUCCCUUCUAUUCUUGGCAUUAAUGUUUCAAGGGUUGCAGUUGCGAGUUUCUUGAAUGCAAGCUGGCCAUCACCUUCUAAGAUGGAUUCAGCUAAUUGACUCUCAAACACUCUAGCAGCCUGUUUAAUGAGGGGAAAACACAACCAUCUUAAGAGAACAUGAAACACAUGUGCUAUAAAGUUGUUAAAGCCAUUUUGACCUAAAACCAUUUCUAGGUUACGGUGACCCACAUCAUGCCACUAAACCAGACAAGAUAUUAUUUGACCAUACUCUUUUUGGCAUGGGAAUUAGUCCCAGUGCAUGAAGAUGACACACCUAACAACAGACCAGGCAUGUAAGUUGCAGAACUUCUAUGUACUUGCGUGCAUUGCUAAUAGCUUCAUUAGAAUAUGUUUUAAGAAGUCCUUUUGCUCUCCAGAUGAAUGCAACAAUUACAUGCUUUGACAUUUUGUUGUUACCUCAGAAGGUGAAAGAACAUCUUGUUCCACAGAACGGGUAGAGGUGACAACCAGUUUAUCUUGCCAUUUGCUAGCCGGACUUUGAAUCCUGAAUUGCCACUCAGAUCCAACGAGAGCCAAGUCCAGCAUCGGAUCAAGUCCAUUAUCAGGCUCAAACUUUGCUAUAUUCAGAUGGUCUCUCUUAAGCCUAACCUGUGUUCAAAGAAAGUAAAGGAAUUCAACAAAAUUAGAUGUCACUUAUUUCAGGACCUUAACGCAUACUGGAUAUUGAGGAAGCUGAACUUUGCACACCAGAAAUUACAGAAGAUUGUAAAAGAAAUUAACCUGAGUUGCAACAAGAUUCACAUCACCAUUUUCAAAUGUUAAAAUGCCUUUAGGUUUUAUCAGUUUGGGAUGUGCUAUCCCAUUUAAAUCAAGCUCUCCACUGACGGCA